CAAUUGUUCGCCAAACAACUACGAGUCCCACUUAAAACUUAAAAGACUUGACGGUGCUUCAUCACAGCCUAGAGGAGCCUGUCUAAUAACCGACAAUCCACGAUUAACCCCACCCCUUCUCGCCUCACAGUCUAUAUACCGCCGUCGCCAGCUUACCUUGUAAAAGAAAUAAAGUGAGCUAAACAGUACCACACUAAAACGACAGGUCGAGGUGUAACCCAUGAAGGGGUCUAAGAUGGGCUACAUUCUCCAACCGAGAAUACGAAUAACACUAUGAAAUUAGUGAUUGAAGACGGAUUUAGCAGUAAGAUAAGAAUAGAACACCUAACUGAACAUAGCGCAAUGAAGUGCGUACACACCGCCCGUCACCCCUGUCACCACAAUAUUAAACUUAAUAAACCAACUAAAUAAACCAAACAGGGCAAGUCGUAACAAGGUAAGUGUACA
This 447-nucleotide ribosomal RNA is filed under the name Ovophis zayuensis. RNAcentral's name for it is "partial 12S ribosomal RNA". Lineage: Eukaryota; Metazoa; Chordata; Lepidosauria; Squamata; Viperidae. The record is from RNAcentral.